Phyllostomus hastatus (greater spear-nosed bat) is the source of this 2339-nucleotide long non-coding RNA. RefSeq lists it as uncharacterized. The record is from RefSeq and is a predicted model, not a curated record. NCBI's taxonomy places the organism in Eukaryota, Metazoa, Chordata, Mammalia, Chiroptera, Phyllostomidae. The transcript is spliced from 3 exons.
GAGAAACAAGACACGACAUAAGAUCUGAACAGUAUCCUGCCAUACAAGCAAAAGCGCUAAUAGAGAAGAGGGCUUCUCCUAAAUAUUUAGAAAAGAUACUUCUAACUUCAAAAAGUACUACUGGCGAGUGUCCAGCAAGGCUGGGGGAGGAUUUUGCAGGCUGCUGGAGGCCGGGCGGGGUGGCUGACUCCGUCCGUGGCCCCACCGACAGUUCCGUGCUGCAAAGGGCUCUGCAUUUGUCUAGAGUCUUGUCUCCUCCGGUCCGCAGUGGAAACGCCUGUCCCUGAAGUCACCGUUUUCCAGACACCUGAGAGUCCGGUGCAGAAGAAAGGAAUAAACGGUGAUUGACAAGAUACUGGGAAUCUGGCCGAUUUUCUUCUUCUCUAACGAAGUCACGAGUCUGAGUCACCGUCAUCUCUUGCCUGGACCCGUAUGGUGGCUUCUCUGUGGUCCCCGGAUGUCCACCCUUUCCCCUCUGCACGAUGGCCAGAGGUCCCCAGCCAGGCCAUGAGCCCCUUCGGGAUGUGGCCUUGGGCUGGCCCUCUGGACUCAUUCCCACCCCACCGCCACACCUGGGGACCCUGCCGCGCCCGCCCAGGCCUCCCUGCUGCCUCCUGAACACACCCGACAGGUGCCCACUCCCCGUACUGUUCCUUCUGCCCCAACACCCUCCCAGAACUCGGUGAGGGUCCCUCCCUCCCUCCCUCCCCAUUUCUGCCUGGAAGUCACUUCCAGAGGGGGGCUUCACUGAGGGCGCUUUCUAAACCAGCGCCUCCCUGACCUUCUGCUCUCUUACCCCAACUUUUUCCUUCCCCCCUCGAUAUUUUAUUCUCCUUUCUUUACAUAUCUAUCGAGGUAGAGCGAGUAGGUGCCCUGAGUGUGGAAGCUCCCUACGGUCUUUGCCGCCUGCUUUGCUGCCGCCUGGCACGGGGGGCAGGUCCCGGGACUCCAGCAGGGGCUCCGUGGGUGUUUGAUGAGUGAGCGGAUGAUUCCAGAUCUGGAAGGUGACGACGCAUCAUCUCUGGCUGCCCGCUUGGCCUUCCUGCCUGAGCACAGUCACCAAGUUCUCCAGAGUCUUCCCUGUGCUAGUUUGGCAAACAUUUAUGGACGCAAACUGCCUCACAGUGUGUGUAUCGCUGAGCCACACGCUUCCCACAACAGCCGUGCCGAGUGACGUAAUGAGCGAGUGGGGCAGGAACGGCGUGAACCCCACAGCACCAGGCCAGCGCCACCCGCCUCCCAGGCCCACUGCUGCGGUGACACUCGUGAACGUUCCUCUGCUUCAAACAGGAGCCUGUGCCUGAUCGCCUGCUUCCAAACGCUCCCUGGAUAAUGUAUUCCGAGCCCCGCUGCCCACCUCAUGUUCCUAAAGCACUGCCGUAAUCAUGUUCUUUCCCCACUCAACAACUGGGACCGCCCUCCAGCGUGCGACCAAACAGCAUGCAUGUUCCCUGGCUUAGAGCAAAGACCCUCCCGGCCUGGCGCCGGCUGCGUUUUGACUGCCUGCCCGGCUUCCACCACCACAGCUCUUGAUUUUAAAGCCAGCCCUCCUAGCAAGCGGAAGCCGCGAUGCUGCUGGUGCUCCCACUCCUGGGGGACCUUCUCUCUUCUCUCUGUGUGUUCAUAGCUUCAGUUCUUUCUCUUGAAGGGGCAUUUUCGUACCCCCCCAUUCCACCUCCACUGAAAGGAGGAAGGGAGGAAAAAGAUGCAAGGAAGGGUGUCAGCAUCUCUCUUCUCUUUGUCCACUCCGAGUUGGAAGGCAGGGAAAUCUGAUCUCCGUUUGUCUGAGCUUCUCUGACUGUGCAUAGACCCCUUCAAAGGAGGCCGCGUGGUCCUCUCUCUGGGGUCGGCCUGCCUGUAAUAAGCGUGCGUUCACGGCCCCUGCCUGCCAACGGUGGGGUUCCAAAGGUGGGUUUAUUGCCUUGCUGAGCCGGUAGUGGGGGGAAGUCGUGGGAAACCUACAGGAUAAGCCGCAUUCUCCAACCCAGCUUUUCUGGAUUGUGAGGCUGAUGUUCUGGCCUCCAUGCACCUGAGUCUAGGUCUGAAUUAGUUCUGAACUCUGAAGAGAAGGAGCGAUUAAUGAUCACCGCCCCCCCUUAAACUCAAAAUCACCCAGAUAGCCCUCUUUUUCCCACAAACUGCUUGACAGUACUGAUGGUUAUAACGUCCAUCCAGGUCUGUCACCUCGUAUCAAAAGCAUAAAGAGAGAAGAGUCACUCUUCUACCCUGUCACCCUUCCUCCGUUCCUUUAGACUUCAGAUCCACGGGUCAGUGUUUAUGUGCAUGGAGGUCAUAAAGGGCUAAUGAAUGUGACACCAAGAAAAAAAAUUAAAAAAAUA